Molecule: long non-coding RNA, 459 nt
Filed under: Brassica napus (rape)
Lineage: Eukaryota; Viridiplantae; Streptophyta; Magnoliopsida; Brassicales; Brassicaceae
Description: long non-coding RNA (BNAP_LNC011652)
Source: RNAcentral
GGUUUAGAGUUAAGAGGUGGGGUUUAAGGAUUUUGGGUUUAGGAUUUAGGGUUUAUAGUUUAGGGUUUAGAGUUUAGGGGUGGGGUUUAGGGUUUAGAGUUUAGAGUUUAGAGUUUAUGGGUGGGGAUUAGGGUUUAGGGUUUAGAGUUAAGGGGUGGGGUUUAGGAUUUAGGGUUUAGGGUUUAGGAUUUAGGGUUUAGAGUUUAGAGUUUAGGGUUUAGAGUUUCAGGGUGAGGUUUAGGGUUUACGGUUUAGAGUUAAGGGGUGGGAUUUAGGAUUUAGGGUUUAGGAUUUAGGGUUUAGAGUUUAGGGUUUAGAGUUUAGGUUUUAGGGUUUAGAGUUUAGGUUUUAGGGUUUAGAGUUGGGGAGUGGGGUUUUGGGAUAAGAUUUCAAAUUUUGAAAAAUAAAUAAAAUUUAAAUUUUUCAAAAAAUAAAAUGUUAUUUUGGUCAUUUUAGUUU